ACCAUCUAGCGACCUCCACGAACGNAGGGAACUGAAACAUCUAAGUACCUGUAGGAAAGGACAUCAAUUGAGACUCCGCUAGUAGUGGCGAGCGAACGCGGAUCAGGCCAGUGGCUUAAGAGAGAAAAGUAGAACGAGUUGGAAAGCUCGACCGAAGAGGGUGAUAGUCCCGUAAACGUAAAUUGAUCUUAAGUCCUUGAGUAGGACGGGACACGUGAAAUCCUGUCUGAAUAUGGGUCGACCACGAUCCAAGCCUAAGUACUCGUGCAUGACCGAUAGUGAACCAGUACCGUGAGGGAAAGGUGAAAAGCACCCCGACGAGGGGAGUGAAAGAGAACCUGAAACCGAAUGCCUACAAACAGUCGGAGCCCAAGAUUAGUUCUGGGUGACGGCGUACCUUUUGUAUAAUGGGUCAGCGACUUAGUCUAACGAGCAAGCUUAAACCGAUAGGUGUAGGCGUAGCGAAAGCGAGUCUGAACAGGGCGUUCAGUUCGUUGGAUUAGACCCGAAACCGAGUGAUCUAGCCAUGAGCAGGCUGAAGGUAAGGUAACACUUACUGGAGGGCCGAACCCAUAUCUGUUGCAAUAGAUCGGGAUGACUUGUGGCUAGGGGUGAAAGGCCAAUCAAACUCGGAAAUAGCUGGUUCUCCGCGAAAUCUAUUUAGGUAGAGCGUUCGUUGUAUUCUCCAGGGGGUAGAGCACUGGAUGGGCUAGGGGUCCUCGCAGGACUACCAAACCUAACCAAACUACGAAUACCUGGAAGAACUGACGAGCAGACACACGGCGGGUGCUAACGUCCGUCGUGGAGAGGGUAACAACCCUGACCACCAUCUAAGGUCCCCAAGUUAUGGCUAAGUGGGAAAGGAUGUGAGGAUCCCAAAACAACCAGGAUGUUGGCUUAGAAGCAGCCAUCAUUUAAAGAAAGCGUAACAGCUCACUGGUCUAAGUAAGGGUCUUUGCGCCGAAAAUGUAACGGGGCUAAAGCCAUACACCGAAGCUGUGGAUACGUCGCAAGACGUGUGGUAGCGGAGCGUUCCGUAAGCCGGAGAAGGGAUAUCCGUAAGGGGUCCUGGAGGUAUCGGAAGUGAGAAUGCUGACAUGAGUAACGAUAAAGGGAGUGAGAGACUCCCUCGCCGAAAGUCCAAGGGUUCCUGCUUAAAGUUAAUCUGAGCAGGGUUAGUCGGCCCCUAAGGCAAGGCCGAAAGGCGUAGUCGAUGGGAACCACGUUAAUAUUCGUGGACCUGUGGGAAGUGACGGAUUGUGUAAAUUGUAAGAUCUUAAUGGAUUGAUCUUGCUUUGAAGCAGUCCCGGGAAAUAGCUCCCACGUAUAGACCGUACCCGAAACCGACACAGGUGGACCGGUAGAGAAUACCAAGGCGCUUGAGAGAACUACGUUGAAGGAACUCGGCAAAUUGCACGCGUAACUUCGGAAGAAGCGUGACCCUUUAGCGGGCAACCGUUAGGGGGUGGCACAGACCAGGGGGUAGCGACUGUUUACCAAAAACACAGGGCUCUGCGAAGUCNCAAGACGACGUAUAGGGUCUGACGCCUGCCCGGUGCUGGAAGGUUAAGAGGAGAUGUGAGAGCAUUGAAUUGAAGCCCCAGUAAACGGCGGCCGUAACAAUAACGGUCCUAAGGUAGCGAAAUUCCUUGUCGGGUAAGUUCCGACCUGCACGAAUGGCGUAAUGAUGGCCAGGCUG
Molecule: ribosomal RNA, 1699 nt
Filed under: insect metagenome
Description: bacterial LSU rRNA
Rfam family: Bacterial large subunit ribosomal RNA
Source: RNAcentral